AACCUUAUGGACCUGCGGGCGUAUACCUGCGGAAGGAUCAUUAUCAAUUUACAGCGAGCUUUCGAGCUCUGUCUGCACCCUUGUCUUUUGCGUACUGUCUGUUUCCUCGGUGGGCUCGCCUGCCGAUAGGACAUACAUACACUCUUUUGUAAUUGCAAUCAGCGUCAGAAUAACUAUAAUAGUUACAACUUUCAACAAUGGAUCU
Molecule: unclassified non-coding RNA, 205 nt
Filed under: soil metagenome
Description: partial contains 5.8S ribosomal RNA, internal transcribed spacer 2, and large subunit ribosomal RNA
Source: RNAcentral